AACGAACGCUGGCGGCAGGCUUAACACAUGCAAGUCGAACGCCCCGCAAGGGGAGUGGCAGCCGGGUGAGUAACGCGUGGGAACAUACCCUUUUCUACGGAAUAGCUCUGGGAAACUGGAAUUAAUACCGUAUACGCCCUACGGGGGAAAGAUUUAUCGGGGAAGGAUUGGCCCGCGUUGGAUUAGCUAGUUGGUGGGGUAAAGGCCUACCAAGGCGACGAUCCAUAGCUGGUCUGAGAGGAUGAUCAGCCACAUUGGGACUGAGACACGGCCCAAACUCCUACGGGAGGCAGCAGUGGGGAAUAUUGGACAAUGGGCGCAAGCCUGAUCCAGCCAUGCCGCGUGAGUGAUGAAGGCCUUAGGGUUGUAAAGCUCUUUCAACGAUGAAGAUAAUGACGGUAGUCGGAGAAGAAGCCCCGGCUAACUUCGUG
This 431-nucleotide ribosomal RNA is filed under the name uncultured bacterium. Its description in RNAcentral is "partial 16S ribosomal RNA". It matches the Rfam family "Bacterial small subunit ribosomal RNA", at positions 29 to 507 of the family's 1533-position model. The record is from RNAcentral.